Molecule: ribosomal RNA, 497 nt
Filed under: uncultured bacterium
Lineage: Bacteria
Description: partial 16S ribosomal RNA
Rfam family: Bacterial small subunit ribosomal RNA
Source: RNAcentral
GAUGAACGCUGGCGGCGUGCCUAAUACAUGCAAGUAGAACGCUGAAGGAAGGAGCUUGCUCUUUCCGGAUGAGUUGCGAACGGGUGAGUAACGCGUAGGUAACCUGCCUGGUAGCGGGGGAUAACUAUUGGAAACGAUAGCUAAUACCGCAUAACAGUAGAUGUUGCAUGAUAUCUACUUAAAAGGUGCAAUUGCACCACUACCAGAUGGACCUUCGUUGUAUUAGCUAGUUGGUGAGGUAACGGCGCACCAAGGCGACGAUACAUAGCCCACCUGAGAGGGUGAUCGGCCACACUGGGACGGAGACACGGCCCAGACUCCUACGGGAGGCAGCAGUAGGGAUUCGUCGGCAAGGGACGGAAGUCUGACCGAGCAACGCCGCGUGAGUGAAGAAGGUUUUCGGAUCGUAAAGCUCUGUUGUAAGGGAAGAACGCGUGUGAGAGUGGAAAGUUCACACUGUGACGGUAUCUUACCAGAAAGGGACGGCUAACUACGUG